CCGAACCCUGUCCUCUAGUGUAAGCACCAUUAAACUCACCUCCCUUUCGAAACCUUUUUGAUGUCGAUGUCGUAGUGAAGUCGUCUGGCUUCACUCCUUCCACUUCUAUCACAAUGUCUACCACCUCUUGGAAGGAUUUUGCCGUUGCCGCUAUCUGUAAGGCCGAAAUCCGCAAUUCUGACCUCAACCCCUUCAUAAACCGGCGAAUUCGCUCUUGUGGACUGAAACAUAGUUGGGUGGCGUACCGGGAUAACG
This 255-nucleotide unclassified non-coding RNA is filed under the name Hevea brasiliensis (rubber tree). The record is from RNAcentral. Lineage: Eukaryota; Viridiplantae; Streptophyta; Magnoliopsida; Malpighiales; Euphorbiaceae.